Molecule: long non-coding RNA, 546 nt
Filed under: Felis catus (domestic cat)
Lineage: Eukaryota; Metazoa; Chordata; Mammalia; Carnivora; Felidae
Description: lncRNA (ENSFCAG00000040306.2)
Source: RNAcentral
GGAUUUUCGUGGAGAAGUAAAUCAAUAUGAAGAAUGGCAAGUAAAAAAAAAAAAGGAAAUUUUUAACAUUCACAAUGGAUUGUAUUGGGGACAGCGAAUGGGAAGGACUGAAUGCUGAUGGAUCAUUCACCUUGGAGAUUCCCACAUUAUGGAGGAAAUAGCUUGUAGAACCGGAGAGGAGAAGUCUUCUGGGGGACCUCCAAAUUGUGAACUGAGCGCUGAGAGCUGAGACACCAGAUGUUUUCAUGACAUGGGCAGGGUUUAAUUUAAUCAAAGGAUAUGGCCUAGAAGGAAAUUCAGUGACGGACGGUGGGGAGCAGAAUCCCAACUGAGCUGACUUAUAAUUUCAGAUGCAGAGAAAAGAGUGGUUCAGGAAAUUCUGCAACAGGUAUAUCAUGUUUAUGCAACAGGUAUAUCCUUCAUGUUUAUGAUGUUAAUUGUUCCUGUUUCCCGAAGUGAUUAGCAGAACACAAUUCAGGAGGAAAUGGAUAUGUGUGCUGGAUGGGAAGAGAAAAGCCAGGGCAUGAUAUCCCAUGUCACAGCCCG